This 660-nucleotide ribosomal RNA is filed under the name Helostroma bacarum. RNAcentral describes it as "LSU rRNA". It matches the Rfam family "Eukaryotic large subunit ribosomal RNA", at positions 40 to 682 of the family's 3401-position model. Lineage: Eukaryota; Fungi; Basidiomycota; Exobasidiomycetes; Microstromatales; Microstromataceae. The record is from RNAcentral.
AUAUCAAUAAGCGGAGGAAAAGAAACUAACAAGGAUUCCCCUAGUAACGGCGAGUGAAGCGGGAAGAGCUCAAAUUUGAAAGCUGGCGCCUUCGGCGUCCGCGUUGUAAUCUCGAGAAGUGUUUUCCGUGCUGGACCAUGUACAAGUUCCUUGGAAUAGGACGUCAUAGAGGGUGAAAAUCCCGUCCUUGACAUGGACGCCCAGUGCUUUGUGAUACGCUCUCCACGAGUCGAGUUGUUUGGGAAUGCAGCUCAAAAUGGGUGGUAAAUUCCAUCUAAAGCUAAAUAUUGGGGAGAGACCGAUAGCGAACAAGUACCGUGAGGGAAAGAUGAAAAGCACUUUGGAAAGAGAGUUAAACAGUACGUGAAAUUGUCGAAAGGGAAGCGCUUGAAGUUAGACAUGCCUGCUGGAAUUCAGCCUUGCUUUUUGCUUGGUGUAUUUUCCGGUGAGCAGGCCAGCAUCAGUUUUGUCUGUCGGAUAAGGGUAGGAGGAACGUAGCCCCCCUCGGGGGGUGUUAUAGCCUCUUACUGGAUACGGCGGAUGGGACUGAGGACCGCAGUGUGCCUUUAUGGCGGGCCUUCGGGCACCUUCACACUUAGGAUGCUGGCGUAAUGGCUUUAAGCGACCCGUCUUGAAACACGGACCGAGGAGUCUAACAUG